This 460-nucleotide ribosomal RNA is filed under the name uncultured bacterium. Its description in RNAcentral is "partial 16S ribosomal RNA". It matches the Rfam family "Bacterial small subunit ribosomal RNA", at positions 338 to 795 of the family's 1533-position model. The record is from RNAcentral.
CCUACGGGAGACAGCAGUGAGGAAUAUUGGUCAAUGGACGAGAGUCUGAACCAGCCAAGUAGCGUGAAGGAUGACUGCCCUAUGGGUUGUAAACUUCUUUUAUAUGGGAAUAAAAUGGUCCACGUGUGGGAUGUUGUAUGUACCAUAUGAAAAAGGAGCGGCUAACUCCGUGCGAGCCGCCGCGGUAAGACGGAGGAUCCGAGCGUUAUCCGGAUUGAUUGGGUUUAAAGGGAGCGUAGGUGGAUUGUUAAGUCAGUUGUGAAAGUUUGCGGCUCAACCGUAAAAUUGCAGUUGAAAAUGGCAGUCUUGAGUCCAGUAGAGGUGGGCGGAAUUCGUGGUGUAGCGGUGAAAUGCUGAGAUAUCACGAAGAACUCCGAUUGCGAAGGCAACUCACUGGACUGCAACUGACACUGAGGCUCGAAAGUGUGGGUAUCAAACAGGAUUAGAUACCCCAGUAGUC